UUUCACAAACAAAGGCAGGCAGUGGCUCAGGGUUGGGAACAGGUAAAAGAAUCCCACCUGCACGUCAACAGCGCUCACCUUUGACCUUUUAACAGUUUCCGCUUUGCCAACGGCAAAUGAGCUUCCGUUUCCGUAUAGAAAAGAGACCUCCAGUUUCCAUCACAGGAAAAACAAAUGAUACUUCAUUAAGACAACAACAACAACAACAACAAACUACUGGAUGAAAAGAAGUCGAGUGAAUGCCCAGAUGUGGCAAACACUCCAAAUGAAGGAGAUGGAAACAGGCCUGUUCUGUGCUCUGGUCAGGCCCACUGUAGUGAGGGGACCGGCAGGCUGCCUGCCAGCUCUGCUCCAUGCCUGGACAGACUCAGUUUCCCGGCCUCUUCACCAGUUGAUAUGCUGGCACCGAAGGACAGCUGUCCCACAGACAAGCUGAAAUGGCUUCCGUGGCUAAGUGCUGAAGAGUCUGUGGCUGCCCUAUCCUAGAGCAAGGCCCUUCCUAAUGGUGGAACUGCCACCCCCACCAUCCCACCACGAGUCAGGAUAGUCUUGUCCUGUGUUGAAAAUUCUGUCACCCUUCUCAGACAAAGUGCAUCUGUUAAUAAAAUCCCUUCUUAGGGGAAGCACGAACAAUGA
Molecule: long non-coding RNA, 636 nt
Organism: Rattus norvegicus (Norway rat)
Lineage: Eukaryota; Metazoa; Chordata; Mammalia; Rodentia; Muridae
Source: RefSeq, a predicted model, not a curated record